RNAcentral lists this ribosomal RNA (250 nucleotides) under uncultured Halobacteria archaeon. Its description in RNAcentral is "partial 16S ribosomal RNA". It matches the Rfam family "Archaeal small subunit ribosomal RNA", at positions 474 to 723 of the family's 1478-position model. Lineage: Archaea; Methanobacteriati; Methanobacteriota; Halobacteria. The record is from RNAcentral.
UACCGGCAGCCCAAGUGAUGGCCGAUAUUAUUGGGCCUAAAGCGUCCGUAGCUGGCCGGACAAGUCCGUUGGGAAAUCCGCAUGCUUAACGUGCGGGCGUCCAGCGGAAACUGUCCGGCUUGGGACCGGAAGACCCGAGGGGUACGUCCGGGGUAGGAGUGAAAUCCUGUAAUCUCGGACGGACCACCUGUGGCGAAAGCGCCUCGGGAAGACGGAUCCGACAGUGAGGGACGAAAGCCAGGGUCUCGAA